AUCGCUUCUCGGCCUUUUGGCUAAGAUCAUGUGUAGUACAGUAACUGCCACACCUCAGACAUUGAUCUAACACAACCACACCCCUGUGCUAUCAUAUAUAUAUAUAUAUAUAUAUAUAUAUAUAUAUAUAUAUAUAUGAAUGGAGUGGGAUCAUUGUAGGGCAUUGAGCAUUUCUGCAAUCUCUU
This is a small nuclear RNA of Podarcis raffonei (Aeolian wall lizard), 185 nucleotides long. RefSeq annotates it as U2 spliceosomal RNA. The transcript has a single exon. The record is from RefSeq and is a predicted model, not a curated record. Lineage: Eukaryota; Metazoa; Chordata; Lepidosauria; Squamata; Lacertidae.